AGAUAAUGGAGAGAGAGAAGAGAACAGCAGUAGCCGUUGCCAGAAAUAUUGAGCAAGGCGGAUUUAUUAGAUGAAGAUAUCAAAAUACUUUCCAUUGAGGAAACAGGUUGGAGGUGGGAGGCUGUAACCAUGCUUGAUUUUGUACCACCCUAACCUUUGCUUAUGAUGCCACUGAAAGGUAAACAUACCAUUCUGACAUGCAUGAAAAUGAAACGACAAAUUGAUACACGCAGUGCUUGGAAUGGAUGGAGUCCUUCUAAUGAGUGAUUACCUGUGGUAUAACUAUAUUGAUUGUGUUUGUACAUGUCAAAUGGGGCUGGCGAGGAUGAACUUGAAGAAAUCAAUCUUGGAACCUGCUAGGACAGCAGCCUCCUGGUUUCACAGUACUAAAUCAUGACUUCAAAAUUUUGAAGUAAAAGAAAACUGCAAAA
Homo sapiens (human) is the source of this 431-nucleotide long non-coding RNA. NCBI's taxonomy places the organism in Eukaryota, Metazoa, Chordata, Mammalia, Primates, Hominidae. The record is from Ensembl.